CCUUCAUUUCGGGGGGGAGCUUUUAAGGGGUGAGAUCUGGCUGGAGUCGGCCCUGAUGGCACGGCAGAGAGCAAACAACUUGUUACGCGGUAGGGACUGAGAUGCGACUGCCCCGCUCACCUCUGCUCCGGGUGAUCUCAGCUGGGACAGCACAGUGGUGAGCCAGCCUGCGCUGUGUACUCUGUCAUGAAUGAUACACAGCCUUCCCCGAGAGCCGUCUGUGGAAAUGAAUGCUGAUGAGACCAAACGGCAGAGCGCAUCAAGGCAGACAUACACCUACACCACGCUCUCGACUCUGUUCCGCUGGUUCUGCUUAUUUCUACAUUUGGACGGGGGGAUCUGCGACCUCUUCUGGACAACUGGGGUGAUUCCUUGAGCCCCAAAUUGAGGAUGAUGUGCCAGUGUCCAGCCCAGAAUGCACAGCAUACCUAAUUUGGGGCAGAAGACCUUUUCUGAAAUUAAAAGGAGAGCACCGACAAUAUGCGGCUGUUUUCGGAUGCAGUGAUACCUUGACACAAGACCUCAUCCAAGGAAUUGUGUUUACAGGAGAUUGAGUGGGUCCAAACGUUUCAGUAGCUGAGUACUCCAUUAUAUUCCUGAAAAAAAACAGCGAGGUGCCCAUGUGGCAAUUGAUGGGAAAUGACACCAAAUUUCUUCUUAUUCCAUUUAUGAAUAAUUCACAUAUGACAGACCGCAGUCUUUGACCUAUUUUCUCAUUUCCACGCACAGCGACAAUUUGAUUAAUAAAUUAUAAAUGGAAUUACAUCUGUGAAUUUUCCCAGUGUGUUGCGGCUCCUCAAAGAGGUGGUAUUGCCUAUCUAGAGAUAUAGAGACUGAAAAGACAAUGAAAACUGCUUGACCCUGGAAGUCAUCUCAUGAACACAUCCUCCCCUCAACUGUCUCCUUUCUCUUUUGAUUGCGGCUCAGUGAUUUAGGCCACCAUGCCUGUGACUGGAAGGUUGAUGGAUCAAAUCUCAGGGUUUCACCAUUGGGCACCUGAGCAAGGGGCUUACUUCAGGGCCCAUCUGACCUUGCUUUCUUAAAAAAAUGUACGUUUCUUUGAAUAGAAAGCAUCUGCUAA
Molecule: long non-coding RNA, 1081 nt
Organism: Paramormyrops kingsleyae
Lineage: Eukaryota; Metazoa; Chordata; Actinopteri; Osteoglossiformes; Mormyridae
Source: RefSeq, a predicted model, not a curated record